This 73-nucleotide transfer RNA is filed under the name Candidatus Wolfebacteria bacterium. RNAcentral's name for it is "tRNA-Arg". It matches the Rfam family "tRNA". Rfam says of the family: Transfer RNA (tRNA) molecules are approximately 80 nucleotides in length. Their secondary structure includes four short double-helical elements and three loops (D, anti-codon, and T loops). Lineage: Bacteria; Candidatus Wolfeibacteriota. The record is from RNAcentral. RNAcentral also lists the same sequence under 1 other name.
GCCCUCGUAGUUCAAUGGAUUAGAACAAAUCCGUCCUAAGGAUAAAAUGUGGGUUCGAUUCCUGCCGAGGGCA